This 1000-nucleotide ribosomal RNA is filed under the name Escherichia coli. Its description in RNAcentral is "bacterial SSU rRNA". It matches the Rfam family "Bacterial small subunit ribosomal RNA", at positions 480 to 1475 of the family's 1533-position model. Lineage: Bacteria; Pseudomonadati; Pseudomonadota; Gammaproteobacteria; Enterobacterales; Enterobacteriaceae. The record is from RNAcentral.
GAGGCAGGAAGCACGACUAGAUUAACCUGUGCGAGCAGCGGUAAGCUCAGUAGGGUGCAUGCAGCAUUCAGUAAAUAUUAGUGGAAGUAAAGCGCAGGCGGGUGGGUCAAUAAGUCAGAUAAUGACAUCUGCGCCAUCAACCGUGGCACCUCCAUCUGAUGCCGACAAGCAUGAGUCUCGUAGAGGGGGGGUAGAACUGCAGGAGUAGCGAAGAAAUGAGUAGAGAUGUGGAGGAAUACCGGUGGAGAAGGCGCCCCCUUGGACGAAGACUGACGCUCAGGUGCGAAAGCGUGGGGAGCAAACAGGAUUAGAUACCCUGGUAGUCCACGCCGUAAACGAUGUCGACUUGGAGGUUGUGCCCUUGAGGCGUGGCUUCCGGAGCUAACGCGUUAAGUCGACCGCCUGGGGAGUACGGCCGCAAGGUUAAAACUCAAAUGAAUUGACGGGGGCCCGCACAAGCGGUGGAGCAUGUGGUUUAAUUCGAUGCAACGCGAAGAACCUUACCUGGUCUUGACAUCCACAGAAGUUUUCAGAGAUGGAUUGGUGCCUUCGGGAACUGUGAGACAGGUGCUGCAUGGCUGUCGUCAGCUCGUGUUGUGAAAUGUUGGGUUAAGUCCCGCAACGAGCGCAACCCUUAUCCUUUGUUGCCAGCGGUCCGGCCGGGAACUCAAAGGAGACUGCCAGUGAUAAACUGGAGGAAGGUGGGGAUGACGUCAAGUCAUCAUGGCCCUUACGACCAGGGCUACACACGUGCUACAAUGGCGCAUACAAAGAGAAGCGACCUCGCGAGAGCAAGCGGACCUCAUAAAGUGCGUCGUAGUCCGGAUUGGAGUCUGCAACUCGACUCCAUGAAGUCGGAAUCGCUAGUAAUCGUGGAUCAGAAUGCCACGGUGAAUACGUUCCCGGGCCUUGUACACACCGCCCGUCACACCAUGGGAGUGGGUUGCAAAAGAAGUAGGUAGCUUAACCUUCGGGAGGGCGCUACCACUUGAUCAACGGC